This 459-nucleotide ribosomal RNA is filed under the name uncultured bacterium. RNAcentral's name for it is "partial 16S ribosomal RNA". It matches the Rfam family "Bacterial small subunit ribosomal RNA", at positions 338 to 795 of the family's 1533-position model. The record is from RNAcentral.
CCUACGGGAGGCAGCAGUGAGGAAUAUUGGUCAAUGGGAGAGAUCCUGAACCAGCCAAGCCGCGUGAGGGAAGACGGCCCUAUGGGUUGUAAACCUCUUUUGUCGGAGAACAAAACCAGGGACGUGUCCCGGACUGCGUGUAUCCGAAGAAAAAGCAUCGGAUAACUCCGUGCCAGCAGCCGCGGUAAUACGGAGGAUGCGAGCGUUAUCCGGAUUUAUUGGGUUUAAAGGGUGCUUAGGCGGUCCGUUACGUCAGCGGUAAAAUUGCGGGGCUCAACCCCGUCGAGCCGUUGAAACUGGCAGACUGGAGUUGGCGAGAUGUAGGCGGAAUUCGUGGUGUAGCGGUGAAAUGCAUAGAUAUCGCGCAGAACCCCGAUUGCGAAGGCAGCGUACCGGCGACAGACUGACGCUGAGGCACGAAAGCGUGGGGAUCGAACAGGAUUAGAUACCCCUGUAGUC